GACUUAAAUCUUCCAUAGAAUAGCAACAAAUUUCCAUGGAGCAUACGGCCAUGGCUGCUUUUGGCCAUGGCAGUCCGUUAUAAAAAAAAAAAUUCUAUUAAAAUUUCAAAGAUGUUCUACACGUUCAAGAAGGCACGACAUAAAGUAUUGAAUUGAGGAAGAAGAAAUAGUGAAAUUGGAGCAAAUAAGUGUAGAAAUUCCUCCGAGUAAAUUAAGGCUAAAAGAGCGACAAGGCGAACGGGUUUGCGAAUAGUUGCUAACAGCCCCAGAUUGUUUGGCAGGUUAAGUAUAUAGCCAGGAUGCUCUGACGUCUGCUGGGAUUGGCAAGUUCCACCUCAUUCCGGAGCUGUGCUGAGUCAUGUAUAGAUAUGUAUGAUUAUGGGUAUGUCAGGGCCCUGUCCUGACUCAUAGCGUCCAGUUCACUUCUUAGAGACUUCUGCAGACAGUGUCCUGUGGUAUGUUUGUCGAGAUGUCGAUAAAGUGAUGUCAGUUGAGUUAUUUGUUGCUUUUAAAAGAGUAUGCAUUGUAGAUGAUUUCAAU
Lycium barbarum (goji berry) is the source of this 540-nucleotide long non-coding RNA. RefSeq lists it as uncharacterized. The transcript is spliced from 3 exons. Lineage: Eukaryota; Viridiplantae; Streptophyta; Magnoliopsida; Solanales; Solanaceae. The record is from RefSeq and is a predicted model, not a curated record.